RNAcentral lists this transfer RNA (72 nucleotides) under Ictidomys tridecemlineatus (thirteen-lined ground squirrel). RNAcentral describes it as "Spermophilus tridecemlineatus (thirteen-lined ground squirrel) tRNA". It matches the Rfam family "tRNA". From Rfam's summary of the family: Transfer RNA (tRNA) molecules are approximately 80 nucleotides in length. The record is from Rfam by way of RNAcentral. Lineage: Eukaryota; Metazoa; Chordata; Mammalia; Rodentia; Sciuridae.
GGGGGUGUGGCUCAGUGGUAGAGCACUCGCCCGGUAUGUGUGAGGCACUGGGUUCGAUCCUCGGCACUACAU